AAAAUAUUUGGUAAACAAAAUAUAUGUUUUAAUGUGUACUCUCUCUUUCUAUCUGACUUGAUUAUUGUGAUGCUUCACUAAAUUUGUAAGAUUUCUUUAAUAAUAAUUUAGUUUAGGGAAUUUGUACAAAGUUUAGACAUUCUGGGCAUAUAAUUUUGACAAAAUCUGUAUCUAACUAAUAUUUUUUUAAUAUCAAGAUUAGGGUAAUUACAAAAAAUGUUAAUAUUCAAUAUUUUGAGCAAACAAAUGGGAAUGGAAGCGAAUCGGGUAUUUUCAAGUACCCGCCUCGAUUGAACCAUUUUUGAACAGUUUCAGAUAAUAUAUAUUUA
This 329-nucleotide unclassified non-coding RNA is filed under the name Hevea brasiliensis (rubber tree). Lineage: Eukaryota; Viridiplantae; Streptophyta; Magnoliopsida; Malpighiales; Euphorbiaceae. The record is from RNAcentral.